This 602-nucleotide ribosomal RNA is filed under the name uncultured Opitutaceae bacterium. RNAcentral's name for it is "bacterial SSU rRNA". It matches the Rfam family "Bacterial small subunit ribosomal RNA", at positions 917 to 1519 of the family's 1533-position model. Lineage: Bacteria; Pseudomonadati; Verrucomicrobiota; Opitutia; Opitutales; Opitutaceae. The record is from RNAcentral.
GGGCCCGCACAAGCGGUGGAGUAUGUGGCUCAAUUCGAUGCAACGCGAAGAACCUUACCUGGCCUUGACAUGCAGGAGACCGACGCUGAAAGGCGUCUUUCCUUCGGGACUGCUGCACAGGUGCUGCAUGGCUGUCGUCAGCUCGUGUCGUGAGAUGUUGCGUUAAGUCGCGCAACGAGCGCAACCCCUGUCCUUAGUUGCCAUCAUUCAGUUGGGCACUCUAGGGAGACAAACCCUCUUUGAGGGUGGGAAGGUGGGGAUGACGUCAAGUCAGGAUGGCCCUUACGGCCAGGGCUGCACACGUACUACAAUGCCCGGUACAGAGGGAUGCAAUACCGCGAGGUGGAGCAAAUCCUCAAAACCGGGCCCAGUUCAGAUUGUAGUCUGCAACUCGACUACAUGAAGUUGGAAUCGCUAGUAAUGGCGCAUCAGCUACGGCGCCGUGAAUACGUUCCCGGGCCUUGUACACACCGCCCGUCACGUCAUGAAAGCCGGUUUCGCCCGAAGUGCGUUUGCCAACCAGCAAUGGAGGCGGCGCCCUAAGGUGAGGCUGGUGAUUGGGACGAAGUCGUAACAAGGUAACCGUAGGGGAACCUGCGGUU